GACGAACCGUCCAAACGUUAUUCGGAAUUACUGGGCUUAAAGGGUGCGUAGGCGGCGCGGAAAGUAGGGUGUGAAAUCCCUCGGCUCAACCGAGGAACUGCGCCCUAAACUACCGUGCUCGAGGGAGAUAGAGGUGAGCGGAACUUAGGGUGGAGCGGUGAAAUGCGUUGAUAUCCUAAGGAACACCCGUGGCGAAAGCGGCUCACUGGGUCUCUUCUGACGCUGAGGCACGAAAGCUAGGGGAGCAAACGGG
This 253-nucleotide ribosomal RNA is filed under the name uncultured bacterium. Its description in RNAcentral is "partial 16S ribosomal RNA". It matches the Rfam family "Bacterial small subunit ribosomal RNA", at positions 524 to 776 of the family's 1533-position model. The record is from RNAcentral.